This 497-nucleotide ribosomal RNA is filed under the name uncultured bacterium. RNAcentral describes it as "partial 16S ribosomal RNA". It matches the Rfam family "Bacterial small subunit ribosomal RNA", at positions 28 to 507 of the family's 1533-position model. The record is from RNAcentral.
GAUGAACGCUGGCGGCGUGCCUAAUACAUGCAAGUCGAGCGAACAGACGAGGAGCUUGCUCCUCUGACGUUAGCGGCGGACGGGUGAGUAACACGUGGAUAACCUACCUAUAAGACUGGGAUAACUUCGGGAAACCGGAGCUAAUACCGGAUAAUAUAUUGAACCGCAUGGUUCAAUAGUGAAAGACGGUUUUGCUGUCACUUAUAGAUGGAUCCGCGCCGCAUUAGCUAGUUGGUAAGGUAACGGCUUACCAAGGCAACGAUGCGUAGCCGACCUGAGAGGGUGAUCGGCCACACUGGAACGGGGACACGGUCCAGACUCCUACGGGAGGCAGCAGUAGGGAAUCGUCCGCAAUGGGCGAAAGCCUGACGGAGCAACGCCGCGUGAGUGAUGAAGGUCUUCGGAUCGUAAAACUCUGUUAUUAGGGAAGAACAAAUGUGUAAGUAACUAUGCACGUCGUGACGGUACCUAAUCAGAAAGCCACGGCUAACUACGUG